UUUCAAGAAAGAAAAUGGAAAACCCACAA
RNAcentral lists this non-coding RNA (29 nucleotides) under Mus musculus (house mouse). Lineage: Eukaryota; Metazoa; Chordata; Mammalia; Rodentia; Muridae. The record is from RNAcentral.